This is a non-coding RNA of Vicia faba (fava bean), 198 nucleotides long. The record is from the annotation of a GenBank genome assembly. NCBI's taxonomy places the organism in Eukaryota, Viridiplantae, Streptophyta, Magnoliopsida, Fabales, Fabaceae.
AUGGUUUUGUUGUAUGUGAUGGACUGCAACAUAAUAGUGUGGCUUCCCGUACAAAACUAUCCAAAUAUGGUUCAAAUCAUGUCUCUGAUCCUACCUUCUUCAGAUCCAUUGUGGGUGGACUGCAACAUGCUAGUGUCACUAGACCUCAAAUCUCUUACUAGUGAACAAAGUGUGUCAAUUCCUUUCCUCACCCCUUGA